GGGCCCAAAACCCUUAAACCUACCUAGCCCACAACCCACUAAACCUAACAGAAGCUCAAACAACCAAAACCUACCCAAAACUAAUCCCAAUCUGACCCAACUAGCUAAAAAAUUUAGGGUUUCAGAAUUUGAAACCCUAAAUCACCUAUCCCACUGCCCCCAGUCACAUCUUCUGCAAGUGGCCUCUGCUCCACCGCCUCUUCACCUGCAACCAUUAAAUGUGAGAAUAGUGUAGAAAACAGAGGGAUUGUAAAGGCUUUAUAAAAGCCGAAUAGAUGAUUUUGUAAAAAAGGUUUUUAGGUUAGCAGAUUUUUACAAUAAAAUCUCUUAGAUUGGAACCACCUAUAUCAAAAAAGAAGUCUCAAUACCAAAACAGAGAUUAAAAAUACCAACAAAUCGCAAGAAGCAAAAAAGAAGCCCAAAGAAGAAAUCAAAAUAAAAAAACGAGAGGUGUUUUAAAAUUUUUGAAUCUGUUUCUUUCUUUUCUUUUCUUUUUUCUUUUCCUGUCUACAUGGACAUGCAUAUAUGUUAUUAAAAUGAAGAAGAAAAAUAAAAAAUACACCUUUUUCGAAACCCCGGCCACCGCACGGCACCGGCGGCGGAAGGCGCGACGGACGGUGAUGAAUGCUGGUCGAACCCGGGGUACCUGCAGAGAGAAAAGAGAGGAUUAGAAGACCUUUUUUAAAAAAGGGAGAAGGGAAAUGAAAUUAAAAAAAAAUAAUUAGUCUAUAUAGGCCGGCAAAACGCACCGUUUUGCCCGCCCCUUUUAAAACCCAGAAACGGCGCCGUUUAGGUGCGACCCGAAGACCCGACCCGUCUUACCCUGGGAUCAGCGUGUUUUUUCUCUUAGGGGCUAAUUGCAUGCUCGGUCAUUCCGCUUUUUAUAUGUUUUGCAAUCAAGUUUUCAAUUCUUUUAAAUUAGCCCCGAGGUUUAUCGCAUUUUGCAAGUUGGUCCUCCCUUCAGCGACACCGUUUCAAGGGCUCGGGUAAAUUGCCCUUUUGGAACCCGUGUGUUAUUUGUGCUUUCAAAUUGGUCCCUUUCCCCUUUAUUAAUUUUUAAAAUCAGCCCCAAAACUUAAUAUUUGUUUCAAAUUAGUCCUUUUUUUAGACUUAAUACGGUUUCUUUUAUUUUUUUUCACUCUUUAUUAUUUAAAUAUCAUUCAUUUUUAUAUUUUACUAUUUUUGUAUUAUCAUCAUUAGCAUAUUUUUUUAUUAUUUAGAUAUUUUUAGUUUUAAUUAAUACUUACAUAUAUUUUAUAUAUAUUCAUAUAGUUGUUUUAUUAUUAUUCCUAAUAUAUAUUUUAUGUAUACACAUUUAAAUACUAUAUCAUACUCUAUAUUAUGCAUAUACAUAUUAACAUUAUACCAUAUGUAUAUUUUUAUAAAUACUAUAUAUAUAUACUUUUAAUAUAUUGUGUAUAUUGUGUGCAUACUUCUAAUAUUAUCAUGUAUUCAUUUUAAUACAUAUGUAUAUAUCUAUGUAAUAUCAUUAAUAUUUAUUUUUAAGCAUCAUUAUCAUUCUUUAGCAUGUAUAUACUAUGUAAAUAGUCUAAAUAUUGCAUUUUUAUGCAUAUAUUUUUAAUACGGAUGCAUUUUAUAUAUUACGUGUAUAUAUCUUUUAAUAUUGUAUUUUUAUGCAUAUACCUUAAUGCUAUAACACUUAUAUAUUUUUAUUUCUCAUAUUAUCUUAUGUUUAUGUUUUUAAACUAUACCAUGUAUAUACUACUAUUAUCUACUUAUAUAAUUGUUAAUAGUUGUUUUCAAAGAUUAUGAUUAUUUCUAAUAUAUGUAUUAUGUGUUUACCUUUAAUAUUAUAUAUUAUAUAUUCUCAUUAUUCUCAUUACUUUUAUUAUUAUUAAUUUUAUUAUUUGACAUAUUAUUGUUAUCAUUCAUUUUUUUUCUUACUAUCAUUGCAUUAUUAUUAUUACUUUUUUUAUUUUCUCAUUACUUAGUUAUUUAUGUUUCUUAUUCACUCAUAUUUUCGUUAUUAUUACGGUGUUAGCAUUAUGUUUAUUCGUUUACUCACAUGUGUCUCAAUAUAUUUGCAAAUCCACAUUAUUCGUCAUUAUUAUCGUUAUAUCAUCACCUCUGUUAUUAUUAUGGUUGUUAACCCUGCGAUUUGUUUCUCAUUUCACCAUGUGAUUAUGAUUACGUUGGUCCUUCACUCGACACAUGUAAUUGUGUUUUCUAAAAUAAAACAAGUUUCGUAUUUAGAUAAUUCGAGAAAAUUGUGCCCUAACUUACUGGGUUUCGGUUUUCCUCGUUUAAUCUAAAUAACGACAUAAUCCUCUUAAAUCGCAAUACGAGUUUUAAAAGAAAAAUGCUUAUUUUCGGGGAUACGAGGUAUGGUGCCCUAACUUACCGGGUAUGACAUUUUGUUACCUCGAAAUAAGAUCUUUUGUAAAAUAAAGGCAAUGUUCGGUGUUCGAAAAUUCGAGGAAACGUGCACUAACUUACUGGGUUUUGAUUUUCCUAGUUCACCCUAAAUAACCGAACAUCCUUUUUAAAAAGGGGGUUAAAAUACAUGAAUUUUAUAUAAAAGGCAAGCUCGCUCUUGAAAAUUCAAGAUGUCGUGUCCUAACUUACUGGAUGUGACAUUUCAUAUUUUGAGACGAGAAGGUCCUUAACACCUGAGCUUUUUUAUAAAGAAAGAUCGUAUUUCAAAAGUCUUUCAAGUUUUCAAUCUUCGACACUAAGACACUAAUUAAUCAACUAGGUACCAAUUUUGGGUGUAUCGAGGGUGCUAACCCUUCCUCUGCGUAACCGACUCCCGAACUUAUUUUCUGAUUUUUCGUAGACCAAAAAAAAAUUUCGUUUUAGUAAAUCUUAAAUUUUAUUAAAAUGAUUAAUUUAAGGUGACCCGAUCACACCUCAUCAAAAAGGAUUGGUGGCGACUCCCGUUCUUUCAUUUUCAAAUCUAAGUCGAUCCCCGUUUCGUUUUUCCAAAAAAUGGUUACUACAGCUUGGCGACUCCACUGGGGACCUAAUAAGAGAGUCAAGCUACAAGUUGAUUAACUUUUUGUCUUUUUGUCAAAAAUUGAGAAUUUGGUUUUGAUAUACGAUCCCUUCAUUGCAUUUCACCCGUUUUUCGUGCGAUUUUCAUCAUUUUAUUCCCAUUUUCUUUAAUCGCUUCAAGUUUUCAUCAUUAUAUCCUCGUACAUUGCAUUGCAUGACCGUUGUGGUCACACCCUUUAAGUGGGAGUGAGAAACUAUUACUUCGUGAGGUUUUCACCUCCGUGCAGGAUAGCGGAUCGCUUUCGGGAUACAUCCGUACCUAUGUUUUCGUGAGAUUUUCAUCUCCGUAUAGCCAUAGGGAAAUGUAUUCCCCUGAACUGAACUCGGUCUAUAUGAACCUAUAAUAAGUGAAGAUCAAGGAAUCUGCUGGUUCAGGUACCCUUACUCUAGAACCAAACCAUAUAUAGAGAGACCUAGGAGCCCACCCUAGGUAGAGCCACUCCGAACCCCUAGAGGUUACCCAAAUUGCUUUAUUUGUUAUUUAUUUAUCCUGUACUAACGUGUUUUGUUUUUGUUUUGUUUAUAAUUGCAUUGCAUUACAUCAUCAUAGGAAUGAGGUGUUGAUUCAUAUUUGAUUGUUAAAUAGAACAGUUUUUCAUAAGAAAAUGAAUUUUUUGAUAAAGUGGAUUAUAACACGGUUGUCUAAAUAUGGUCCAAGUAAACACAAUGAAAGAAGGCUGAUAGUCCGUGAAGAAAUACAAGACUUUGCUUCAUUGCCUGAGGAUGCAAGCCAACAAAGAUUAUUCAAGAGUCGUCACGUCUUAAAGGAGCUAACGAGUAUCGUAGGGACAAGUGAUCAAUAAGUCGCGGCCUGGAUCAAGCAAAAAGGAGUUAAUAUAGACAUCUCUUGGGGAAUUUGCAAGACUCGACCAUAAGAUCCGGAUAUGAAGAGGAAGUUAGGUGUCUUCACUUGGAAUAUGAGAGAAAUGCCGUAUAUGUAGUCCGUUUUAUGUAAAGGAAUUUAUUUUCUAGAAAAGUUGUUUCUAAUGAAAUUGAAUUCAGAAUCAAUGCAUUCCUUUCUUUUGCAUUCAUUUCAUGCAUCUGCAUUGCAUUGCAUUAUCUGCAUUAGACUUUCCCUAAAAGAACCUUAAUUAGGUGAAAUUAUUUCAGUUAGCCUGGGAACCGACAAAGGUCAAACGACUAGGCAUCUUUACGGUACACGGAAAAGGAUAAAAGAUAUGGAUCAAAGAUUGGAAAGACUUGAACAACUUCAAAGAGAGACGCAAGACCUGCUACAACUGCAAAUGCAAGAGCAACUGGCGAAGAUCGAACAAGAUAUAAGGGACCAAAUGCUAGAGGCCCAAAGGAAUAUGAUGAAUCAGUUGUCCCAAUUACUGACUAAGGGGCUAGGAAAAGGAAAAAACUCCAUGAUCAAUGCUGGGGAGAACAAUGAGAAACCUCUAUGCCCUCCGGGUUUCACCUUGAUAAAUGAUCAGACAUGUCCGCAAGAUGUACCUAUUGCUAUCAGAUCACAACAUCAGGUCGGUACCUUGGCACCCAUGAACUACCCGACGGGCUCAGGUCCAAUCCAAGGAACAGUCUAACCAAUCAUGAAGUUCCUGAUCUAGACAAAAUGGAAGGAAUAGAAAAAGAAAAGGUUGAACUGGAAAGACAACUUGAAGAUCGAUACAAGUGGUUGGAAGAAAAACUUAGAGUGAUAGAGAAUGCUGAUUACCAUCGCGGGGUCGAUGCCAAGGAUCUGAGUUUGGUCCCUGAUCUAGUACUCCCGUCAAAAUUUAAGACUCCAGAGUUUGAAAAAUACAAUGGGACUAGUUGUCCUGAAGCUCACAUCACAAUGUUCUAUCGAAGGAUGACAGGAUAUGUUAAUAACGACCAAUUAUUAAUUCAUUGCUUCCAAGACAGUCUGAUCGGGUCAGCAACUAAGUGGUACAAUAAAUUAAGUCGUGCUAAAAUCAAUUCAUGAAAAGACUUAGCAUGGGCUUUCAUGAAGCAGUAUGGCCACAUGACUGACAUGGCACCCGACAGAAUUACACUACAGAAUAUGGAAAAGAAGCAAUGUGAGAGCUUCAGGCAAUAUGCCCAAAGAUGGAGAGAGGUAGCGACGCAAGUCCAACCACCUCUUCUAGAGAAAGAAACUACAUCGCUUUUCAUCAACACUCUGAAAGCCCCGUUCAUUACCCAUAUGUUGGGAAGCGCUACCCUGAGCUUCUCAAACAUAGUAAUGUCCGGCGAGAUGAUUGAAAACGCAAUCAGAAGCGGGAAGAUAGAUGCAGGAGAAAACACCAAGAGGUCAACCCCAAAUAGAAAUGAAAAUGAAGUGAAUAAUGUAAGCAAAGGGUACCCCAAAUUGGUCAACAUAGGUCAGCCGAGGCAGGAAUCCAACUCGAGGCCGAAUACAGAAAGGCUCCGGUUUACACCAAUCUCAAUGUCAUAUAAGGAGUUGUAUCAGAAUCUCUUUGAUGUACAUGUAGUGUCACCGUUCUACUCAGAACCAGUGCAACCUCCGUUCCUAAAAUGGUAUAAUGAGAAUGCUCAAUGCGAGUACCACGCGGGAAUAACGGGACACUCAAUCGAAAACUGCACUACUUUUAAAAAGUUGGUCGAAAGGUUCAUUGAAAUGGGAGUUGUAAGGUUUGACGAUUCCUCAGAACCAAAUCGCUCUGACGAUAUAGUAAAUACGAUUUGAAAGUGGGGGCAAGAGAGUUGCAAUGCCUUGAACAAGUCAAAAGCCUGGAAGGAAUAUCAGGGAAUCUGAAUGACAUAUCCAAAGAGGGAACUGGAGAAUACUAGUUUCCAAACCCUUGCGUACUUGGGGAUGUUUUGAACAAUGGGACUGUAGAAGAAAUCCCUGUAUUUUUAGAGCUAAUCUAGAGUAAUAUUCAAAACACGCUUGUUGCUUUAAGCCUUGAAGCAAUUAGACCCCUUUUGUGAAAUAUGCUUGUGUCCUUAGUCUUUAUUUCAAUAAAAUGCAUAUUUUUUGAGUAAAUAUUCUUUUAUUUCAUUUCAUACUAUACAAAUAAUUGUUCAUAGAUUCUUUUGUUCUUUGGACUUUCUUUCAAACAUUCAUGUAUACUUCAUCCAUGAUCAUAGAAUCAUUUAUUCUUUAGAAUCACUACAGCAAAACAGGUUUUUAGCGGCGUUUGAAUGAAAAACGCCACUAAUGCUCGAUCUUUAGAAAAACGCCGCAAAAGAAUUUUACAAAACGGCGUUGUUUUGUAUUGAGCUUUUAGUGGCUUUAGCGGCGCUUUUUAAAAAAGUGCCACAAAAAACAUUUCAUCUGUCUACUUACAGUUUAACUGGUUUAUUUUUAUUAAAAUACAAUUUAUUUUUAAUUAAAUAUUUAAAUUCUUCAGAAAAAAAUAAUGACACAGAGAAAAAAUUUGAAAGUAAAAACAUAGAAAAAUAUUUAUUAAAAAUGAAAAAAAUGAAAAAACUAUUAUUUAAAAUAAUUUUAAAGAUUUUUGGUAUAUGACUGAUUGUUUUUUAAUUUAUAUGUUAAAUAUUUUCUUAUAUAAUUUUAAAAGAGAUAGUAUUAAUUUUAAAAUAUUGAAUUAAUUAUCAUUAUAGUAUAGUGUUUACGGUAUACGGUAUACGAUUAAGGGUUUAAUGUUUAUGAGUUACUAUUUUAAGGUUUAUGGAUUAUGGGUUUAGGGAUCAUGGUUUAAGGGUAGUUUAAGGUUGGGGUUUAAGGUUUCACUACAGCAAAACAGGUUUUUAGCGGCGUUUUUUGAAAAACGCCACAAAAAAUGAAAAAAAUUAAAAUACCAUUGUUUAAAAUAAUUUUAAAGAUUUUUUGUAUAUGACUAAUUGUUUUUUAAUUUAUAUGUUAAAUGUUUUCUUAUAUAAUUGUAAAAGAGAUAGUGUUAAUUUUAAAAUAUUGAAUUAAUUAUCAUUAUAGUUUAGGGUUUACGGUAUUUGGUUAAGGGUUUAAUGUUUAUGAGUUACUAUUUUAAGGUUUAUGGAUUAUGGGUUUAGGGAUUAUGGGUUAUGGUUUAAGGGUUGGGGUUUAAGACUUAAGGGUUAUGGGUUAAGUGUAGGUUUUUAGGGUUUAUAGAUUAUGGUUAUGAUUUAGGGUUUAGGGGGUAGGGAUUAGGGGUUUAAGGCUUAGAUUAAUUAAUGCUUUGUAAUUUAUAUAUUAAAUAAUUUAUUAUAUAAUUGUAAAAGAGAUAAGAUUAAUUUUAAUAUAUUAAAAUUAUGAUUAUAGUUUAAAUUAUAGGUUAAGGUUUGGGGUUUAUAGUUUAGGAUUUAUGAUACAGGGUUUUGGGUUUAGGGGGUUAGGGGUUGGGGUUUAAGGGUAAAUAUAGUGAACUACUUAACUUGUGUAUCUUAGAUUUUUUUAUAAUAUAAAUCUAAAUAAGAUAAAUAUAAAUUAUUAUUUUAAAAAUAUAUAUAUCAAAAUGGGUUAAAUCCCAAAAGCAUAAAUUGUGAACACAAUUAUUGAUAUAAAUCAUUUUAUAUUUAUAUACUGCAUAUAUAAAUGUUUAUAUUUAUUCAAUAUAAAAAUAUAUUGAUGUAUUUAUUUUUUAAAACGUGUAUGAUUAAAUCAAAAUUAAAGUUUCAACUAUACAUUUAAAUCACAAUUAGAAUUUCACGUCUAUAAUUACACAUUAAACUGAAAUUCAUAUAUAAUAUUGAGAUAUAUCUCUAUCAAAAUUUAGGUAUAUACAUAUAAUUAAAUAUAAUUUAAAUUAUUUAAGAGAUAAUGAUAAAGUUUAUAUAUAUUAAAAUAAAAUAAAGAAUUUUUAGCAGAGCAAAAAGGUGAGAAAAUAACUUUUUGUGGCGUUUUUAUUAAAAAUGCCACAAAAAGUAAGCGGUGUUUUUUAUACGCCACAAAUUUUUUUACACAAAACGGUACCGUCUUGUUACUCAAAAUGCAUUAGACUUUUUCGUUCCCCCUUCCCCCGAAAUCCCAAAAUUUGACAAGAAAUCUUUUUUUUUUUCCCUCUUUUCUUUUCCCAAAAUCGGUUCCCUCCCCCAUCCCUAAAGAAAUCCUAAAAUUUCACUUGAAAUUUCUUCUCUUUUUUUCCCCAUUUUAUUUUUCCCAAACCAUUUCUCCCCUACCCCGAUUCCCUUUAUUUUUCCCCCAAUUUCCUCAAAUCGGCAGCCCUCUGCAUCUCCGUCGGUAGCCCGUUGCUGUAUCUCUGUCGACAUUUGCUGUCGGUAGCCCUCUCUCUCUUUGUUUACUAUCACUGUUUUUACUUGUAAUUUUCAUAUUAAUAACUAUCUCUUCAAAUGGGUUUUCUUUUCAAUUUAUAUGCCAUCGGGAAUAGACCUCUUUAGUCUUCAAAAACACUUUCCCUGAUCGUUAAUUUUACUACAGUUGACAGUGUUCUAAGGGUUCAGACUCGAGAGUGUGCUAUUGGUAUGCUUGAAAAAGCUAUAAAGUAACUUCAUUUGUUCAGUUCUCCUUGUGCUCAGAGAUAAAUCGAUUCUUGUUUUUUUGAAUUUUGCAAUUUGAGAAAACAAAUACUCUUGUUCUUCCCUCUGUUGUUUGCUCCCUCUUGAAUAUUCACUGAAAUCCCAAAAAUCCCAUAUUGUUCUUGUUUUGUUUUGUUUUUGCUCCCUCUGUUGUUUUUGAAUACUCUCAUCAACUUCGUUUAGCUUUCUUUUUAUUUUUGUGUGUGUUUUUAUAUGGCUGUUUACUAUUUCAACGACAACAUUUUUUUAUCUGGGAAUUGUUAUUCUGGUUUCCUCGAUCCCUUUUCCCGUGAUUUGGGUCCAUGCAAUGGGAUUUCACAGUCCUUGUUUUGGAUAAUGAGAAAAGUGAGCUGGUGGUGAAGUCGCCGGUGAAGGUUGGGAAGAAAAGCGUGGCGGAAGAGAAAGUUAUAGCGGCUUUAAAGAGUCAUAGCGAAGCUGAGAGGAGGAGGAGAGAAAGGAUUAAUGCUCACCUGGACACCCUCCGUACUCUCUUUCCAUAUAGAGAAAAAGGUUCUUCUUACAACCUUCUUUAUAUAUGUUAGAUGGAUAAUAUAGUUCAUUUAAAUUGUUUGCUUAUAUUAUGUGCCUGCUAGGAUUCUUUAAGUCUUAAAACUUUUGUUUAACAAUGAUCAUUAGAUGUAAUUACCAGGUUGUCCAGGUAGAGUAUAAGGUAGAAUAUGAAGGGUAGCUAUGAACCUGAAAUGAUCUUUGACGACCGUAAAAUGAAUAUUUGGAUAUUUUAAUUAUAACAAAAAAAAAAUUGUUGUAAGGUCAUUUGCUGCAUCAAUUUUGCACUUGGAAGGUCAACUCUGAAUUUCAUAAAUGCUGGAGUCAACUAAGGGGAUGCAUCAUUCUUUUUAGCAGAUGUUUUACAAUUUGACAAUUACGAGAUUAAGGUUUAUUUAGGAUCCCAAUUUCAGACCUUCAGUUCUAGAUAAUGGCCUGCCUUUGAAGCUGUAAUUGCUUCCAUUGGUGGAGAUAUUAUCUGCAAAAUUUAUAGGAGAAGUUUUUAUACAGUGUGUGAUUUUGAGAAAUGCACUGCAAGGUAUUGAUUUUAUUUCUUCCUCUGAUGAUGAAAUCUGUGCAAAAUGGUUAGGAAUAAAAGUGGUUCAAUAGGGGAAAACCUUGUGAUUUUGCUCUUGCUUACUACUUGGUAUCACUCAUUUUCACAUUUCACCUUGUGUAUAUUUUAGCAUUUAUCUUUCCUGUCUUCUAAUCUGCGCCACCUUUCCUAUCCUUCACCCAUUCCACACGACACACAUAUAACCCCCUUCUCUCUCUGUUCAAUUGCAGUGCGGAUGGUUCAUCUUUUAUCGUUUACUCUCUCUUUGUUUCCUUUUGAAGAGAUUUUUAAGCUGUUUAUCUUUUCUCUUGAUAAUAAGCUCUAACGGCAGAAAAACAAAAGGAGGGAUCUUUUGAAGUGGAAAAAAAGAGAAUAAGAUCAGAUUAACAUCUUUGUUGGUUUUUUUUUUAACUUUUUAUUUAUUUGGGUUUGGGAAAUGAAUUGUGAGUUUUUGAUUUGUUCUUCACAAGGAUCUGUUUUAAGCUUUUGGGUUUUUUUUUUGAGUGUUUAGAGAAAGAGAAAUGGCUGGAAGUAAUGAAAUCAACCUCAACGAGUGCAAGGUACAAUAUUUUCUCCUUUUUUUUUUUCGUUUACUCAUUGUGUAUAUUCUUUCUAGAAUUGGGUUGUCAAAGUUGAGUUCUAUAAUGAAUUCUUCAUAUAUUUUCGAGGUUGUUUUGGUUAAUGAAGCUGAGUUUUAGCUUAUUUUUUUGUUAGAGUUGAUGGUCUUAUCAAUCUUAUUUAUUGAACUUUUUUUCCAUAUUUGAAUAUCUAGGGUUAUGGGUUGUGGAAAGUUGAUUCUUUUGCUGUUUUUGGGGUAUGGAACAGUUUAGUUUGAUUUUUAAGCUUCAACGUCAUAUAUGAGUUUAUGUAUUAUAUUGUUGUUUUAAUUAUAUAAUUGAAUAAAUAUUGUUAAUUGAGGUGUUAAACUGCUGCAAACUGAAGUGUUUGAAUGCUGUAAAUUGAAGUGUUUGAAUGCUGUAAAUUGAAGUGUUUAAAUGCUGUAAAUUGAAAUGCUUAAAUGUUGCAAAUUGAAGUGUUUAAGUACUGCAAAUUGAAGUGUUUAGUUGCUGGAUAUUGAGAUGUUUUAUCGCUGUAAUUGAGGUGUAUAAAUGUUGUUAAUUGAGAUGUUAAAGUGCUGCAAAUUGAAGUGCUUAAAUGCUGUAAAUUGAAGUGUUAAAGUGCUGCAAAUUGAAGUGUUUGAAUGCUGUAAAUUGAAGUGCUUAAAUGUUGCAAAUUGAAGUGUUUAGUUGUUGGACAUUGAGAUGUUUUAUCGCUGUAAUUGAGGUGUAUAAAUGUUGUAAAUUGAGAUGCUAAAGUGCUGCAAAUUGAAGUGCUUAAAUGCUGUAAAUUGAAGUGUUAACGUGCUGCAAAUUGAAGUGUUUGAAUGCUGUAAGUUGAAGUGUUUAAAUGCUGUAAAUUGAUGUGCUUAAAUGUUGCAAAUUGAAGUGUUUAAGUACUACAAAUUGAAGUGUUUAAGUACUGGACAUUGAGAUGUUUUAUCGCUGUAAUUGAGGUGUAUAAAUGUUGUUAAUUGAGAUGUAAAAGUGCUGCAAAUUGAAGUGCUUAAAUGCUGUAAAUUGAAGUGUUAAAGUGCUGCAAAUUGAAGUGUUUGAAUGGUGCAAAUUGAAGUGUUUAAGUACUACAAAUUGAAGUGUUUAGUUGUUGGACAUUGAGAUGUUUUAUCGCUAUAAUUGAAGUGUUUAAAUGUUGUUAAUUGAGAUGUUAAAGUGCUGCAAAUUGAAGUGUUAAAGUGCUGCAAAUUGAAUGUAGCUGUCUUAUAUUUUGAACAAUUAUUGGAGCUAAUGUUUGACCCUUAAUUUCUUCAUUAUCUUUUUUUUUAAUUUGAUUAAUGUUAUUGUUUCGUUAAUUUAAAUUCAUUAAUUUUUUAUAUUUAGUUUUGAAGUUUAAAUUUUAAUAGGAAAUUUAAUUUAAUUAAUAUUUUUUAUUUAUCAUUAAAAGUGUAUAGUUUAAAGUUCAAAGUUCAAAUUUUAAACAUAAUAUAAUAUUUAAUUAAAAUAAUUUUUUUAAAGGUUAUAUUCUUUAGCGGCGUUUGUGGAAAAAGUGCCGCUAAAGGUUUAUUUUAUAGCGGCGUUUGUAGGAAAAGUGCUGUUAAAGGUUAUGACUUUUAGCGGCGCUUUUCCAACAAAUGUCGCUAAAAGCCAUGAUUUUUAGCUGUGCUUUUCCCACAAACGCCGCUAAAAACCAUGACUUUUCGCAGCGUUUUUUUGAAUAAACGCCGUAAAUUUUUACGGCGUUUCUUAUAGUGGCGUUUUUUGUGGCGCUAGUAAAAACGCCGCAAAUAGUUUUAGUGGCGAUUAAAAAUGCCGCUAAAGGCUAAAAAAAGCGCCGUUAAAAGUCUAUUUUCUUGUAGUGAAUCUACUUUCAGCGGGUCCCCAGAUAUUGAUGAUGUGAGUAACGCUGUCAUUGACUCCGAGUCUCCUUUUGGGCCAAAUAUGGGCCUAAAGGGAUCUCAACACUUUGAAGAUGACAGAGAUGUAGACUACUCUCUGAUUUGUUAAGGAUGGUAGAGUAAGAUGAAAACAGAUCCUUUCUUACAAAAAGACAGUGGACAGUAGGCCUAGGACAAGAGAAAGAGGCAAACAUCGGAGUCUGCAUCACCACAAAGGCAAAGCAAGAUGUCAUUGAGUCACUUCCAAGAAUUUAAAGAUUUUUUGCACGAUCGUAUCAGGAUACGGCUGGCUACUAAGACAUGAGGAUGUUGCAGGGUUUUGAAUGACAUAUGCUGGCCAGGCUAAUCAUGAGAUUUGGGUUCUGCUGGUCUACCAUAGAAAGGGAUUGCAUCAGUAUACCGUAAAUGCCAAAUUUAUGGAGAGAAAAUUUAUGUGCCUUUUCAUUCUUUCGACUUUCUCUAUAUGGGGCAUGGAGGUUAUUGGGCCGAUUUCGUCGAAAGCUUCCAGCAGACAUCAAUUACUUUGCCAAGAGGGUGAAAGUCGCUUUAUAUGCCAAUCAUCAAAUCUUAAAAAAAAAAGAAAAAGAAAAAGAAGAAGAAGAAAAAGAAGAAGAAGAUCAUGGAAAGAUGACUAAGACUUGUAAAGAUCGGCAUAAGAAGUCAUCAUGUACCCUCUAUGCUCAUCGAACGUCGGCUAGGACCUUAGCUGGGGCAAUACAUUGCUCGUUGGUUUAUAAGAUAGAAUCGAUUUUAAAUAUGAGACUCCUUUUCUCCGAGUCUCGUCAGAGCUGAAGUUAGAUAAGGCAGAAUGGAUUCAAUCUUGAUAGGAUCAAUUGAAUUUGAAAAGAGAGGGUCGAAAGCUAUCUGUCGAAAUCCAAUGCACCGAAAAUGACUGAUGCGAGCUUACGAUGAAGAAGCUUAUCUUAGAAAAUUCCACGAAGGGAACUUGAUGUUAAAGAAUAUCCCUUCUAUACAAAAGGACUUCAGAGGAAAGUGGAUGUCAAAAUAGGAGGGACUUUAUGUAGUAAAAGGCCCAUUCUGGAGGAGCGUUGAUGGCGAAGAUUUUCCCAAUCCGGUGAAUUCAAAUCCAAUCAAUGAGCAUUCUACCUAAAAGGAAAGAGGCCAAGGUGAAAACCCGCAAAGGGCGUCUUGAAACAAAAAAAAAGAAAGAAAAAGGAGAGGCCAAGGCGAAAACCAACAAAUGGCACCUUGAGAUCAAAGGGAAUUUGAGUUGAAAACCUAAAAAGGGCAGCUCAAAUUUGGAUCAAAGUGGGGCAUACAUUAGUCUUGCUAUGCCUGAAUUAACAAUGAAAAAGUAUGCUACGUCUUGGGGCAUCAACAAAGUAUUCCGGAUCCCUUAAACACAUAUUGAGCUCAGAAAGGUCAUCAAGAAGUUGGUACAGAGAAGCUCAAGCCGCGAUAUCUGGGACAUCUAGCUUCCAUUUUGCCCAUUUUGAAUUUGUUAUCUUUGAUUCUUUUUAAGAUAUGUUCGAAUAAAUUUUCUUCUUAUUGCAUUGCUAUCUUUGAUUAACUUAUUCAUUUUAAGUUAAUUCCCUUCUUAUUGCAUUUGUAAUCUUUGAUUAAUUAAUUUAUUUUGAGCUAUGCUCCCAAUCAAUUUUCUUCUUAUCCAUUGUUUUGAUAUUUUUCAAGCAUUUUGCAUUGAAAUAACGAUUAAUGGACCAAUAAUACUUUCAUAAAAGAAGUUCUGCAUAUUACUUUAGGAGCUUCUAAAUAGUACAGGAGCCUGAAACAGGACCAUUAUUCAGAACUCACUAAGCCUAAGGGUUGGAAAUAUUUGAGCCUAAAUUGAAAUUAUCUCAUCAAGUUUUCUGUUAAAGAUAUUGGUUGGGUAGAAAAAUCACAUUGGUGUUACAAUCCCGGCAAAGAACAAGCAAUAUGAUUAUUCUCGAGAAAAGAAAAAUGGUAUUCUGCAUUCAUACAAAUAUCAGGGACAUACAUUUGUUCAUUACACCUAAGGAAUGGUGUAACAGAUCAAAUUGAUUGAAGAUGAUACAAAUUCUAUACCUUUGAGUUGCAACAAGAUGGAUGGAAGAAACCAAAUGUUGUUCCUCUGAAAUGAUAGUAGGAGGCACAAACUUUAUGUCCCAGAAGGUACAGUAGAAGGGACUCUGAAAUUACAGCAGGAAAAGCUUACUGAGCAAAAUGUGAUUGUUUUUCUGACUCUUCUGUCAAGAAUACCAGCCGAACAAGAUGGCAGCGUAAUACGUCAGUGAUAAUGUCCUGAUGAACAACGAGUGAUGAUACCUUAAGCCUUUUUAAAGGGAUCAUUUUCAUUCAUAUAUCAUUCAUAACACAUCUAAUUAGGAGCAUUUGAUUCAUUUCGAUCAUAACAUUCUAAUUAUUUGACACAUUCAUAACACAUCUAGUUAGGAGCAUUUGAUUCAUUUCAAUUAGAGUAUCCUAAUCAUUUGGCAUAAGUACAUGAAACUGAUUUUAUAGAUUUUAUCCCCCUAAGCAGUAAGGAAACAGAUCGAAGGUGACAAGCCUUAACCCCCUAAGUAGUAGGGUAACAGGCUGAAGAUUUAUAGAUCUUAUCCCCCUAAGCAAUAGGGAAACAGAUCGAAGGUGACGAGCUUUAACCCCCUAAGCAGUAGGGUAACAAGCUAAAGUUCAUAGAUCUUAUCACCCUAAGCAGUAGGGAAGCAGAUCAAAAGAUGGCGAAUCUUGCCUUCCUGAAGUUGCAGUGAAGCAGAUUCAAACCACCAAGCCUUAAUCCCCUAAGUAGUAGGGUAACAGGUUGAAGAUCUACAGAUUUUAACCCCCUAAGCAGUAGGGAAACAGAUCGAAGAUGAUGAUCUUAUCACCCUAAGCAGUAGGGAAACAGAUCAAAUGGGCCUUAACCCCCUAAGCAGUAGGGUAAUAGGUUGAAAAUCACAGAUCUUGCCUCCCUGAAGUUGUAGUGGAGCAGAUCAAAUACAUCGAAUCUUGCCUCCUUGAAUGCAGUGAAGCAGAUUCAAACCACCAAGCUUUAACCCCCUAAGCAGUAGGGUAACAAGAUGAAGUUUAUAGAUAUUAUUGCCCUAAGUAGUAGGGAAACAGAUCGAAGAUGAUGGGCUAAACCCCCUAAGCGGUAGGGUAACAAGCCAAAUUUACAGACCUUGAAUCCCUAAGCAGUAGGGAAACAGAUCGAAGGCGACGAGCUUUAACUCCCUAAGCAGUAGGGUAACAAGCUGACGUUCAUAAGAUCUUAUCACCCUAAGCAGUAGGGAAGCAGAUCAAAAGACAGUGAAUCUUACCUUCCUGAAGUUGUAGUAAAGAAGAUUCAAACCACCAAGCCUUAAAACCCUAAGCAGUAGGGUAACAGGUUGAAAAUCAAAUGUCUUCUCCCUAAAGCAGCAUGUGGAGUUGACCCAAGCCACGACAGAUCUCCUUGAAGUUUCAGUAGAGUUAAUUGAAGUCACAAGUCUUAUCUAUAUAGAGUUGAAACGGAGUGGAGUAACAAGAUUGGAAUGAAGCUACUUGGAGAAAAGGAACGCUAAACAAGUCCAGACAUGGUGAGACCGGGCAAAAUUGGUCUUUCUUAAGUCUUUGCUCUGUUCUCGUUACACGAUAACAAGCAAAGAGGGGCGGCUGUAUAAGCCCAAUUUUGGGCCCAAAACCCUUAAACCUACCUAGCCCACAACCCACUAAACCUAACAGAAGCUCAAACAACCAAAAUCUACCCAAAACUAAUCCCAAUCUGACCCAACUAGCUAAAAAAUUUAGGGUUUCAAAAUUUGAAACCUUAAAUCACCUAUCCCACCGCCCUCAAUCACAUCUCUUGCAAGUGGCCUCUGCUCCACCGCCUCUUCACCUGUAACCAUUAAAUGUGAGAAUAGUGUAGAAAACAGAGGGAUUGUAAAGCCUUUAUAAAAGCCGAAUGGAUGAUUUUGUAAAAGAGGUUUUUAGGUUAGCAGAUUUGUACAAUAAAAUCUUUUAGAUUGGAACCACCUAUAUCAAAAAAGAAGUCUCAAUACCAAAGCAGAGAUUAAAAAUACCAACAAAUCGCAAGAAGCAAAAAAGAAGCCCAAAGAAGAAAUCAAAAUAAAAAAACGAGGUGUUUUAAAAUUUUUGAAUCUGUUUUUCUUUUCUUUUUUUUCUUUUCCUGUCUACAUGGACAUGCAUAUAUGUUAUUAAAAUAAAGAAGAAAAAUAAAAAAAAUACACCUUUUUCGAAACCCCGGCCACCGCACGGCACCGGCGGUGAAAGGCGUGACGGACGGUGAUGAAUGCUGGUCGGACCCGGGGUACCUGCAGAGAGAAAAGAGAGGAUUAGAAGACCUUUUUUAAAAAAGGGAGAAGGGAAAUGAAAUUAAAAAAAAAAUUAGUCUAUAUAGGCCGGCAAAACGCACCGUUUUGCCCGCCCCUUUUAAAACCCAAAAACGGCGCCGUUUAGGUGCGACCCGAAGACCCGACCCGUCUUACCCUGGGAUCAGCGUGUUUUUUCUCUUAGGGGAUAAUUGCAUGCUCGGUCAUUCCGCUUUUUAUAUGUUUUGCAAUCAAGUUUUCAAUUCUUUUAAAUUAGCCCCGAGGUUUAUCGCAUUUUGCAAGUUGGUCCUCCCUUCAGCGACACUGUUUCAAGGGCUCGGGUAAAUUGCCCUUUUGGACCCCGUGUGUUAUUUGUGCUUUCAAA
Molecule: long non-coding RNA, 16499 nt
Filed under: Gossypium barbadense (sea-island cotton)
Lineage: Eukaryota; Viridiplantae; Streptophyta; Magnoliopsida; Malvales; Malvaceae
Description: long non-coding RNA (GBAR_LNC007787)
Source: RNAcentral